GCAUAUAUAAAAAUUAAAUUCAAAUUAAUUAAUUUAUUAAUUUUACUUUUAAAUCCUAAAAAUUUAAUUUUUUUUUAAAAAAAAAUUUUUAAAUGCAACUCAUUUUAAUCUUUAAAAUACUACAUAUUGAUCUGAAAUAAUUUUUAAUAAAAUAUUUUAAAUAAAAUAAUUUUAUUUAUUUUUUUAACGAACAUACAUAAAUUAAUAUUUAAAGUUUAAUUUAACGUGGAUUAUCAAUUAUUAAACAAGUUUCCCUAAAUAAAUUUAUAUACUACCAUAUUUAAAUAUUUCAUUAAUUUAAUAAAAUAUUAAUAAAUUUAAUUUUAAUACUAGGGUAUCUAAUCCUAG
This 348-nucleotide ribosomal RNA is filed under the name Spalangia endius. Its description in RNAcentral is "partial 12S ribosomal RNA". Lineage: Eukaryota; Metazoa; Arthropoda; Insecta; Hymenoptera; Spalangiidae. The record is from RNAcentral.